UACGUAGGGGGCAAGCGUUGUCCGGAUUUAUUGGGCGUAAAGGGCGCGUAGGCGGCUACGCACGUCCGUUGUGAAAUCGCCCGGCUCAACUGGGCGGGGUCGGCGGAUACGGCGUAGCUUGAGCAAGCUAGGGGGCAAUGGAAUUCCCGGUGUAGUGGUGGAAUGCGUAGAUAUCGGGAGGAACACCGGUGGCGAAGGCGGCAUCCUGGACCGGUAUUGACGCUGAGGCGCGAAAGCUAGGGGAGCAAACGGG
Molecule: ribosomal RNA, 253 nt
Filed under: uncultured bacterium
Lineage: Bacteria
Description: partial 16S ribosomal RNA
Rfam family: Bacterial small subunit ribosomal RNA
Source: RNAcentral